RNAcentral lists this long non-coding RNA (473 nucleotides) under Numida meleagris (helmeted guineafowl). Its description in RNAcentral is "lncRNA (ENSNMEG00000003459.1)". Lineage: Eukaryota; Metazoa; Chordata; Aves; Galliformes; Numididae. The record is from RNAcentral.
CCAUGCUGAAACGGUGUGCGCAGAUGUGAGGCCAACAGCAGAGGCAGAAAGGCUUUGUCAACACCAGCAAAUCACUGAUUCUACCUCUGCAAGGUCAGCUUCUGAAGGCAACGUGUCUAAGACCACGGCUCCACAACCGGAGUUCUUUGACAUACAAAUGGAUGUGCGGAGUUGGAGCAGAGGUGCAUCUAGUGAAGUAACCAAUCUCCUAAUGCAUGCUUAGGAAAGAGAAAAAGAACAAGCUGAGUAGUCUGUGGUAUCGAGAGAUUUUGCCUUGUCCAAGUUUCACCAGCAAGCCCUGGUGUGGAGAUGGAAGGUGCUGUUUUCUCACAGUAAAACUUCCUGGGCUUUCUGUACAUAUUGUCUCAUCUCCUACUGAUUUAAAACUAAACAUGCAAGUAAUCAGACAACAGAUGACUUUCGGAGCACAUCACCAAACAGAACUUCAAAAAACAUUCUUUGAAAGCAUCUGA